GACGAACGCUGGCGGCGUGCUUAACACAUGCAAGUCGAGCGGAAAGGCCCUUUCGGGGGUACUCGAGCGGCGAACGGGUGAGUAACACGUGAGUAAUCUGCCCCUGGCUUUGGGAUAGCCACCGGAAACGGUGAUUAAUACCGGAUACGACCACUUCUCGCAUGGGAUGGUGGGGGAAAGUUUUUCGGCCAGGGAUGUGCUCGCGGCCUAUCAGCUUGAUGGUGGGGUAAUGGCUCACCAUGGCUUCGACGGGUAGCCGGCCUGGGAGGGUGGCCGGUCACACUGGGACUGAGACACGGCCCAGACUCCUACGGGAGGCAGCAGUGGGGAAUAUUGGACAAUGGGCGGAAGCCUGAUCCAGCAACGCCGCGUGAGGGAUGACGGCCUUCGUGUUGUAAACCUCUUUCAGCAUGGACGAAGCGCAAGUGACGGUACCUGCAGAAGAAGCACCGGCCAACUACGUGCCAGCCGCCGCCGUAA
RNAcentral lists this ribosomal RNA (480 nucleotides) under uncultured bacterium. RNAcentral describes it as "partial 16S ribosomal RNA". It matches the Rfam family "Bacterial small subunit ribosomal RNA", at positions 28 to 523 of the family's 1533-position model. The record is from RNAcentral.